GGUUUAAUUACCCAAGUUUGAGGUACAUUCAACUAAA
This 37-nucleotide small RNA is filed under the name Loa loa (African eye worm). Its description in RNAcentral is "sL1 RNA". The record is from RNAcentral. Lineage: Eukaryota; Metazoa; Nematoda; Chromadorea; Rhabditida; Onchocercidae.